UGAAUCCAUGUCAUGAAAUCAGAAUGUCAUCACCAGCAGCCCGCAAGGAGGCCAUAAAAGACUGUUGAAAGAUUCGGAGAGAAGCCUACAUUUGAUGGCAGUGAUGGAAGAGAUGCUUUUGAAAACUUUGAGUAACACUGGAUGGCUUUCAUUGGGUUUCAUGAAAUUUAUUUCCAGUUGUUUAGCAGAAAUGUUUUAGGAUGUUGUUUGCCUACAUUUUGAGUGAAAGCUUAACUUGUAAUUAGCAUAAGAGGCCUUUGGGAUCAUGAUGGUAUCGUCCUGGUAGUGUUCUGACCCCUCAGUAUAACCUUGUAUACUUUGGAAAGGAAAGGUUAAAACAAAGUAAAAGUUUGCCCAAUUCUGUAGAAUUGACACUAGCAUGAGCAGAGGUAAGGUUUCUUGUCCCACUCCUCCCCAGAAUUAUAAUUACUAAAUCCAUCCUUUGGUUUUCUCCCUGUCAGAAAUUCUGCUCAUCUUGCAUUGGCAGGCCUUAUGGCAGCCUCAAGCAAGACAUCGCUGACAUUGAGGCAGAAUAAAGCUUAAAGCUGAAAAAGGAAUGACCUGUGGCAAUGCUCAGUUCCUAAGAACAUUGCUAAGCUGUUCUGAUCAAGUGAACCAUGUGGCAUUCAGCGUUGUGCUAAUUAAAUUUCUUAUCUGGGUGUAGAGUAUAGCCACUGAAGGCAUUGACUUAUUAAGCUCAUUUUAAUUAAAAAGAAAACAUGUUUUUGUUCUGUUUGUGUUGUAUAAAGUAGUUAUGGGCCCACUCUCAAAUAAAAUUGUGAACCUUGUUUGCAAAAAAGCAAACUAAAGCAAA
Molecule: long non-coding RNA, 814 nt
Organism: Trichosurus vulpecula (common brushtail)
Lineage: Eukaryota; Metazoa; Chordata; Mammalia; Diprotodontia; Phalangeridae
Exons: 2
Source: RefSeq, a predicted model, not a curated record